CCUCAGCAGAACCAAAAAAUCGGUAAAAAAAAUUUAAAAAAAAAUAAAAACAACAUAAAAAACCCUCCAAAGCGACCCCAAAAGCAGCCGGGCAGCGCUCGGGCCCGGCCCGGCCCGCAGGCCCGGCCGCAGACGGGGCCGGGCUGGCGCUCCGCGCUGCCCCGCGGUGCUGGCGGGCUGUCCCGGGCGGCGGGGCUCGCUGGCCCCGCUGGAACCCCCCUGUCCCGGGAUGCCGGGAUCCCGCUACUCACCGAGCGCCGCUCCCGGGCUCUCCACGGGCGACCGCAGCGGGGCGGAGGCCACGCCCACCGAGCCAGGCCACGCCCACCGAGACAAGCCACGCCCCUUCUCACCGACCACGCCCACCCCGCAUGGCCCCGCCCCUUCCUGAGCGGGGAGGGGGCCGGGAUGGUGGGCGGGGCCAGGAGAAAUGUGGGCGUGGCCACGCCGUUCUCCCAAAUCCAUGCAGAAUUCCACAGCCAAACGCGACUUGCUGGAAGUGUGAAGAGGACAAAGAUGAGGAUGGAGGCAGCCGCCCAAGCCAGACCCUGUUCUAGUGCCCAGCUGUGCCCAGCUGUGCCAGCAAGGUUCAGCUCCACCACCACGGGACUCUGAACAAACCCAGCCGAGCCACGGCAAUGCUGGGCUCCCCUCCUUCCUCUGCUCCUCCAUCCUUUUUUGCAUUAUUAAAUGUACUCCUGUCUAACAGGAUUUUAUGUCAUCGUUUUUCCCCAAAGUGGGAAAAAAGGAAAUAAUUAGGGGUGGCAGGUCUAGCCCGGCACGCAGCAACACCAUUAAGCAGGAGGCUGCUACGCUGAGUUGGUCUGGAGCCUCUUUAGCAUUUUCAUUAGCUCUCCAAAGCUUUUGAUGUCCCUUAUUUACAACACAGACACUGCAGAGGAGGCAGGCAAUGAUUAAGACAAGCUUUUACUCUUCUGGAGUUCACUGGAUACCUCGUGGCUACGGACCCUGCAUAUAAAGCAAUAUUGCUUAUUAUUCUGUGCUGUUUGUUCCAUUAAUCAUGAGCCUGCUUUGCUCUGGGAAGAGGAAUUGGAAUACAGCAAUAUUCUGUCUGCUUGUUUUUAAAAUACAUGUGUGGGUGGACACUCCAGCUACUGCUCACAUUUUUCUCUCACAAGAAGAGCUGUUCGUGAUUCUCCUCCCCAGUGUUUUCUUCUGACACUGGUUUUGUUCGCCGAACUCAGGAAGGGAACUGCCUCAAGCCUGUCAAUGAGUGUUGUAUGGAAAUAAGGAGUACUAACUGAGAAAUGCUUGAAAUUCGGCAUCCCAGAGAGGAAAAGGAUUUCUUUUCCAUCAUGGAAAGGGGGGUCAGGCUGGACAUUGGACUGGGCUGCCCAGGGAAGUGGUGGAGUCCCCAUCCAAGGAAGGUGACACUCAGUGCUCUGGGCUGGGUGACAAGAGGGGGAUUUGGCACAGAUUGAACUUCAUGGUCUUGGAGGGCUUUUCCAACCUCAGUGAUUCCACGAUCCUGUGGUUCAGUUCAAAGUCACUCACUGCCCUCACAGUCUCAGCCUUCAGCAGCCACCCAGCGGGUCUGGGGAUUCCUUCAGGAUAUUCCAGAAGGAAUUUUCAGAGUGUUCAACUCGUCAUCCUG
RNAcentral lists this long non-coding RNA (1615 nucleotides) under Chloebia gouldiae (Gouldian finch). RNAcentral describes it as "Erythrura gouldiae (Gouldian finch) lncRNA (ENSEGOG00005014257.1)". The record is from RNAcentral. Lineage: Eukaryota; Metazoa; Chordata; Aves; Passeriformes; Passeridae.